UCCCUGGUAGUCCAGUGGUUAGGAUUCUGCGCUCUUAUUGGCGAGGGCCCAGGUUCAAUCCCUGGUUGGGGAA
This is a non-coding RNA of Mesoplodon densirostris (Blainville's beaked whale), 73 nucleotides long. NCBI's taxonomy places the organism in Eukaryota, Metazoa, Chordata, Mammalia, Artiodactyla, Ziphiidae. The record is from the annotation of a RefSeq genome assembly.